GAACAACUUCACCACCAUUAGUGACAGUGGACCUGCAUGGAAAGAGGGAUGAAGAGAGAGAAAUGGUUUGAGAUCAUUCUAUUUUAUUGCAACUGCACAAAAACUGACAGAGUGACCAUGCCAUUUCACCCUCCUGUGACUCACCUGCUGUUCUCCACGAGGUAGAGCACGAUCUUGUCCAGCACCUUCUCGAUGAGGGCCGUGCGGAUCCAAAGGUUUCUGACCACCUGCGGGCUGAGGCUGGGCAGCCUGGACAGUAUCCCUCCUGAGCCUUUCUGCACAGCACCUCUGCCGGGGCGAAGCUCUUCCCCACCUUCAUGAAGAGCGCUGCUAUCUUGUUGCUACGCAGGAAUCCCGCCGCUCGCCGCUUAAGCCCAUG
Oncorhynchus kisutch (coho salmon) is the source of this 379-nucleotide long non-coding RNA. RefSeq lists it as uncharacterized. The transcript is spliced from 3 exons. NCBI's taxonomy places the organism in Eukaryota, Metazoa, Chordata, Actinopteri, Salmoniformes, Salmonidae. The record is from RefSeq and is a predicted model, not a curated record.